AGGCGANAAAGCGUGGGGAGCAAACAGGAUUAGAUNCCCUGGUAGUCCACGCCGUAANCGAUGAGUGCUAAGUGUUAGAGGGUUUCCGCCCUUUAGUGCUGCAGCUAACGCAUUAAGCACUCCGCCUGGGGAGUACGGUCGCAAGACUGAAACUCAAAGGAAUUGACGGGGGCCCGCACAAGCGGUGGAGCAUGUGGUUUAAUUCGAAGCAACGCGAAGAACCUUACCAGGUCUUGACAUCCUCUGACAACUCUAGANAUAGAGCGUUCCCCUUCGGGGGACAGAGUGACAGGUGGUGCAUGGUUGUCGUCAGCUCGUGUCGUGAGAUGUUGGGUUAAGUCCCGCAACGAGCGCAACCCUUGAUCUUAGUUGCCAGCAUUUAGUUGGGCACUCUAAGGUGACUGCCGGUGACAAACCGGAGGAAGGUGGGGAUGACGUCAAAUCAUCAUGCCCCUUAUGACCUGGGCUACACACGUGCUACAAUGGAUGGUACAAAGGGCUGCAAGACCGCGAGGUCAAGCCAAUCCCAUAAAACCAUUGCUACAGUUCGGAUUGUAGGCUGCAACUCGCUCUACAUGAAGCUGGAAUCGGGUAGUAAUCCGCGGAACAGCAUUGC
RNAcentral lists this ribosomal RNA (616 nucleotides) under fern endophytic bacterium R201. Its description in RNAcentral is "bacterial SSU rRNA". It matches the Rfam family "Bacterial small subunit ribosomal RNA", at positions 749 to 1358 of the family's 1533-position model. The record is from RNAcentral.